GAUGAACGCUGGCGGCGUGCCUAAUACAUGCAAGUCGAACGCUGAAGGAAGGAGCUUGCUCUUUCCGGAUGAGUUGCGAACGGGUGAGUAACGCGUAGGUAGCCUGCCUGGUAGCGGGGGAUAACUAUUGGAAACGAUAGCUAAUACCGCAUAACAGUAGAUGUUGCAUGAUAUCUACUUAAAAGGUGCCAUUGCACCACUACCAGAUGGACCUGCGUUGUAUUAGCUAGUUGGUGAGGUAACGGCUCACCAAGGGGACGAUACAUAGCCGACCUGAGAGGGUGAUCGGCCACACUGGGACUGAGACACGGCACAGACGCCCACGGGAGGCAGCAGUAGGGAAACUUGGGCAAUGGGCGGAAAUCUGACCGAGAAACGCCGCGUGAGUGAAGAAGGUUUUCGGAUCGUAAAGGUCUGUUGUAAGAGAAGAAAGAGUGUGGGAGUGGAAAGUUCACACUGUGACGGUAUCUUACCAGAAAGGGACGGCUAACUACGUG
This 497-nucleotide ribosomal RNA is filed under the name uncultured bacterium. RNAcentral describes it as "partial 16S ribosomal RNA". It matches the Rfam family "Bacterial small subunit ribosomal RNA", at positions 28 to 507 of the family's 1533-position model. The record is from RNAcentral.